RNAcentral lists this ribosomal RNA (1342 nucleotides) under Celastrina hersilia. Its description in RNAcentral is "large subunit ribosomal RNA". The stretch from base 1079 to 1237 matches the Rfam family "Eukaryotic large subunit ribosomal RNA", at positions 2825 to 2984 of the family's 3401-position model. Lineage: Eukaryota; Metazoa; Arthropoda; Insecta; Lepidoptera; Lycaenidae. The record is from RNAcentral.
AAAAUAAAAAUUAAUUAUUUAUAUUAUAAUAAAAAUAAUUUUAAUAUUAAAAUAAGGGGGUUUAAGUAUUUUAAUAGAAAAAAUUAGAAAUUUUAUAAUAAAUUAGUAUAGUAAUAGAAAUUUGAAAUAGUUGAAAAUAAAAUUAUUAAAAAGUAAAUUUAAUUUAUUGUAUCUUGUGUAUCAGAGUUUAUUAAAUAAAUUAUAAAGAUAUAUAUAUAUAUCUCGAAUUUAAAAGAGUUAAUUAAUUAAUAAAUUUAAUGUAAAAUAAUUAUUUUAAAUAAUUAAUUAGAAAUGAAAUGUUAAUCGUUUUUAAAUAUAUCUAGUUUUUUUAGAAAAAAAUUUAAUUUUAAAUUUGUUUUUUUUUUAAUUAAAUAAAUAAUUUAAAUAAGAAUAAUUUUUAUAAUUUAAGGGAUAAGCUUUAAAUUAAAAAAUUUAUAAUAAUUUUUUUUUUAUUUAAAAUUUUUAAAAUUUAUAUUGUUUAAAAAUUAAAAUUUUUUAUAAAAAAUUUUAAAAUAAAUAAAAUUUAAAAUAAAUUUAAUUUUUUAUAAAAAUAUAAUUUUUAAUAUAUAUAUAUAUAUAAAUUAGAAAUAAUGAUAAAAUUAGUAUAAAUAAAAUAAUUGUAAAUAAAAUAAUUUAUUAAUUAAUUAAAAGGAAUUCGGCAAAAUUUUAUAUUCACCUGUUUAACAAAAACAUGUCUUUUUGAUUUAAUUUAAAGUCUAAUCUGCCCACUGAUUUUAAAUUAAAGGGCUGCAGUAAUUUGACUGUACAAAGGUAGCAUAAUCAUUAGUCUUUUAAUUGAAGACUUGUAUGAAUGAUUUGAUGAAAUAUAAACUGUCUCUAAUUUAUAUAUAAAAUUUAAUUUUUUAGUUAAAAAGCUAAAAUAUUUUUAAAAGACGAGAAGACCCUAUAGAGUUUUAUAAUUUAUAAAUUAAAAUAUUUUUAUAAAAUUUAAAUAUUAUAUUUUAUAAAUUAUUUUAUUGGGGUGAUAAAAAAAUAAAAAAAACUUUUUUUUUAUAAAUAUCAAAAAUAAUUGAGUAAAUGAUCCAAAUUAAUGAUUAAAAGAAAAAAUUACCUUAGGGAUAACAGCGUAAUAUUUUUUUUUAGUACAAAUAAAAAAAAAAGUUUGCGACCUCGAUGUUGGAUUAAGAUAAAAUUUAAAUGCAAAAGUUUAAAAUUUUGAUCUGUUCGAUCAUUAAAAUCUUACAUGAUCUGAGUUCAAACCGGUGUAAGCCAGGUUGGUUUCUAUCUUUAGAUUAAUAAAAUAUUUUAGUACGAAAGGAUCAAAUAUUUAAAAUAGUUUUAUUUAGAAGAAUUUUAAUAAUAGUAAAUAUUUUUAAAUAUG